UUAAUUCCGGGGAGUACCGUAAUGGUGAGAAGCGGAAGAAAGCGUGAUGGAGUAAUUCGACAAAUUCCCGGAGCCCAUGAAAAGGGGGAUACCGUCCGUACCGAGAACCGACACAGGUGCCCCUCGCUGAGAAGGCGAAGGCGUGUCGGAUUUAAUCGUGUUAAGGGAACUCGGCAAAUUGGCCCCGUAACUUUGGGAGAAGGGGUGCCUGCCUGGAGAUCAGGCAGGUCGCAGUGACCAGGGAGCUCUAACUGUCUAAUAACAACAUAGGAGACUGCAACUCGGAAACGACUAGUAUAGUCUCUGAUUCCUGCCCAGUGCGAGUAUCUGAACACCCAGUUCAAUGGGACGAAGGACUCGUAAACGGCGGGGGUAACGAUGACCCUCUUAAGGUAGCGUAGUACCUUGUCGCUUAAUUGGCGACUUGCAUGAAUGGAUUAAUGAGAGCUCUACUGUCCCUAACACGAAUCCGUUGAACCUUUUGUCCUAGUGCAGAGACUAGGGACUCCUAUUGGGAAGUGAAGACCCCGUGGAGCUUUACUGCAGCCUGUCGUUGAAUUACGGUUUUACAUGCGCAGCGUAGAUGGGAGGCGUUAUAUCCGUUUCUUUCGGGGAACGGGGAGCCACCAAUGGGACACCAUCCUUGUUUGGCUGUAAUUCUCACUCGUCUUUACGAGGACAUCGAUAGGUAGGCAGUUUGGGUGGGGCGCCACACCCUCGAAAAAAUAUCAAGGGUGCCCUAAGGUCAACUCAUGUGAGUCAGAAACUCACAGUAGAGUGAAAGAGCAAAAGUUGGCCUGACGCGAUUGCGCAUAGCAAGCAAUCGCGAGAGGAAACUCGGGUCUAACGAACCAAUAUGCCCUUUUGGUGAGGGCUAUUGACGACAGAAAAGCUACCCCGGGGAUAACAGAGUCGUCGCCGGCAAGAGCACAUAUCGACCCGGCGGCUUGCUACCUCGAUGUCGGUUCUUUCCAUCCUGGCUGUGCAGCAGCAGCCAAGGGUGAGGUUGUUCGCCUAUUAAAGGGGAUCGUGAGCUGGGUUUAGACCGUCGUGAGACAGGUCGGUUACUAUCUAAUAGGAGUGUCAGGAGUCUGAGGGUAAGAAUGAAAUAGUACGAGAGGAACUUUCAUUCGGCGCCUCUAGUCGAUCGGUUGUCCGACAGGGCAGUGCCGAGCAGCCACGCGCCAAGGGAUAAAAGCUGAAAGCAUCUAAGCUUGAAACCCGGCCUAAAAAGAGACUCCGUUACAGGACAUGAGUAAAAGACUCGUUUGAUAGGCUCGGGAUGUACGCACGAAGGCAACGACGUGUUCAGUCCGCGAGUACUAACGUCCAAAUACCCCUG
RNAcentral lists this ribosomal RNA (1342 nucleotides) under metagenome. Its description in RNAcentral is "bacterial LSU rRNA". It matches the Rfam family "Archaeal large subunit ribosomal RNA", at positions 1617 to 2987 of the family's 2987-position model. The record is from RNAcentral.